CGCAUGGGAGCUUGAUUAAAGAUGGCCUCUACUUGUAAGCUAUCGCUUUGCGAUGGGUCUGCGUCUGAUUAGCUAGUUGGUGGGGUAACGGCCUACCAAGGCGACGAUCAGUAGCCGGUCUGAGAGGAUGAACGGCCACAUUGGAACUGAGACACGGUCCAGACUCCUACGGGAGGCAGCAGUGGGGAAUCUUCCGCAAUGGGCGAAAGCCUGACGGAGCAACGCCGCGUGAGUGAAGAAGGGUUUCGGCUCGUAAAGCUCUGUUGACGGGGACGAACGUGCGAGAUGCGAAUAGUUUCUUGCAAUGACGGUACCCGUCGAGGAAGCCACGGCUAACUACGUGCCAGCAGCCGCGGUAAUACGUAGGUGGCGAGCGUUGUCCGGAAUUAUUGGGCGUAAAGGGAGCGCAGGCGGGAAGGCAAGUCAGUCUUAAAAGUGCGGGGCUCAACCCCGUGAUGGGAUUGAAACUGUCUUUCUUGAGUGCAGGAGAGGAAAGCGGAAUUCCUAGUGUAGCGGUGAAAUGCGUAGAUAUUAGGAGGAACACCAGUGGCGAAGGCGGCUUUCUGGACUGUAACUGACG
RNAcentral lists this ribosomal RNA (580 nucleotides) under uncultured rumen bacterium. Its description in RNAcentral is "bacterial SSU rRNA". It matches the Rfam family "Bacterial small subunit ribosomal RNA", at positions 187 to 745 of the family's 1533-position model. The record is from RNAcentral.